RNAcentral lists this ribosomal RNA (253 nucleotides) under uncultured bacterium. RNAcentral's name for it is "partial 16S ribosomal RNA". It matches the Rfam family "Bacterial small subunit ribosomal RNA", at positions 524 to 776 of the family's 1533-position model. The record is from RNAcentral.
UACAGGGGGUGCAAACGUUGCUCGGAAUCAUUGGGCGUAAAGCGCACGUAGGCGGUUCGUUAUGUCGGAUGUGAAAGCCCUUGGCUUAACCGAGGAAGUGCAUCCGAAACUGGCGAGCUAGAGUACGAAAGAGGAUCGCGGAAUUCCCAGUGUAGAGGUGAAAUUCGUAGAUAUCGGGAGGAACACCUGUGGCGAAAGCGGCUCACUGGACCACAACUGACGCUGAGGCGCGAAAGCUAGGGGAGCAAACAGG